Molecule: ribosomal RNA, 523 nt
Filed under: Aspergillus sp. IFM 58443
Lineage: Eukaryota; Fungi; Ascomycota; Eurotiomycetes; Eurotiales; Aspergillaceae
Description: LSU rRNA
Rfam family: Eukaryotic large subunit ribosomal RNA
Source: RNAcentral
UUUGAAAUCUGGCCCCCUCGGGGUCCNAGUUGUAAUUUGCAGAGGAUGCUUCGGGUGCGGCCCCCGUCUAAGUGCCCUGGAACGGGCCGUCAUAGAGGGUGAGAAUCCCGUCUGGGACGGGGUGUCCGCGUCCGUGUGAAGCUCCUUCGACGAGUCGAGUUGUUUGGGAAUGCAGCUCUAAAUGGGUGGUAAAUUUCAUCUAAAGCUAAAUACUGGCCGGAGACCGAUAGCGCACAAGUAGAGUGAUCGAAAGAUGAAAAGCACUUUGAAAAGAGAGUUAAAAAGCACGUGAAAUUGUUGAAAGGGAAGCGCUUGCGACCAGACUCGCCCGCGGGGUUCAGCCGGCAUUCGUGCCGGUGUACUUCCCCGCGGGCGGGCCAGCGUCGGUUUGGGCGGCCGGUCAAAGGCCCCCGGAAUGUAGUGCCCCUACGGGGGCACCUUAUAGCCGGGGGUGCAAUGCGGCCAGCCUGGACCGAGGAACGCGCUUCGGCACGGACGCUGGCAUAAUGGUUGCAAACGACCC